AAAGCUUUAAGUUAACUAAAACUAUUAACCUUCAAAGUUAAAAAUAUAUUAUAUAUAAGCUUUA
This 64-nucleotide transfer RNA is filed under the name Chinavia ubica. RNAcentral describes it as "tRNA-Trp". The record is from RNAcentral. Lineage: Eukaryota; Metazoa; Arthropoda; Insecta; Hemiptera; Pentatomidae. RNAcentral also lists the same sequence under 1 other name.